This 631-nucleotide ribosomal RNA is filed under the name Staphylococcus epidermidis. Its description in RNAcentral is "bacterial SSU rRNA". It matches the Rfam family "Bacterial small subunit ribosomal RNA", at positions 146 to 764 of the family's 1533-position model. The record is from RNAcentral. Lineage: Bacteria; Bacillati; Bacillota; Bacilli; Caryophanales; Staphylococcaceae.
ACUUCGGGAAACCGGAGCUAAUACCGGAUAAUAUAUUGAACCGCAUGGUUCAAUAGUGAAAGACGGUUUUGCUGUCACUUAUAGAUGGAUCCGCGCCGCAUUAGCUAGUUGGUAAGGUAACGGCUUACCAAGGCAACGAUGCGUAGCCGACCUGAGAGGGUGAUCGGCCACACUGGAACUGAGACACGGUCCAGACUCCUACGGGAGGCAGCAGUAGGGAAUCUUCCGCAAUGGGCGAAAGCCUGACGGAGCAACGCCGCGUGAGUGAUGAAGGUCUUCGGAUCGUAAAACUCUGUUAUUAGGGAAGAACAAAUGUGUAAGUAACUAUGCACGUCUUGACGGUACCUAAUCAGAAAGCCACGGCUAACUACGUGCCAGCAGCCGCGGUAAUACGUAGGUGGCAAGCGUUAUCCGGAAUUAUUGGGCGUAAAGCGCGCGUAGGCGGUUUUUUAAGUCUGAUGUGAAAGCCCACGGCUCAACCGUGGAGGGUCAUUGGAAACUGGAAAACUUGAGUGCAGAAGAGGAAAGUGGAAUUCCAUGUGUAGCGGUGAAAUGCGCAGAGAUAUGGAGGAACACCAGUGGCGAAGGCGACUUUCUGGUCUGUAACUGACGCUGAUGUGCGAAAGCGUGG